This 105-nucleotide ribosomal RNA is filed under the name Flavobacterium okayamense. The record is from RNAcentral. Lineage: Bacteria; Pseudomonadati; Bacteroidota; Flavobacteriia; Flavobacteriales; Flavobacteriaceae.
GGUGGUUAUUGCGUCGGGGCUCACCUCUUCCCAUUCCGAACAGAGAAGUUAAGCCCGAUUGCGCAGAUGGUACUGCCAUCAGGUGGGAGAGUAUGUCGCCGCCUU